UGAAACAGCCGUUCACUGAAGCGACUGAAGCUGCGUAAUGCAGCAUGAGCAUAUGCAGCAUAAUGUCAAUUUCGGAAAAUGCGUGAGCAUGCACGCAUAUUGAUUACAGCACUGCAUGGUUUGAAAAAAGGCGAUCACAGGGCACUGAAGAUUGACUAUUUGUGCAAAAUUUAACAAGAAUCAAGUUCUAAGGCAAGACUUACAGAUAUUCUUGGAUAUUCUGAGGAACCUGUCAAGAAAAACCUUCAGGCACCUAAAAUAUGGAAGCAUCAUUCUGCGCCAUCAAUGGAGUGUGUGAUACGUACGAGAACUUUGUUUUCGGCGCUCCACUCGCUGCUCCUGCUCUCCCAGCAAACGCAAGAAUGAUAAAUUAACAUUUUUUUAUUUUUAAGUUUAACCCACUUGUACUGUGAACGGGGCAAGUUUUGGAUUCAGAUCACCAAUCAGAAAUUGCAAUAAAGAGUUGGCAAUGACAUCUGGCUUCUACAGUUAUGCCAAGCUGGCAAAAAAUGCCACUGAAUAUGCUCGAAGGAUGAAUCGACUGAGCAGCCGCAUCUUUGGUGAGAUGGUGCCUACAGCUAACUCCCAAAGGUCAAUCAAAGUUAUGCAGCUGCUAUCUGAACAGCCACGGUACAAAGAUCCUCAACUUGUGGACUAUUAUCCUCGCUUUCGCGAGACCUACUAUCUAAUGCUCCAUCUGCGAGAACUGGGCCUGUACCGUGACGAACAUUGGGACUUCAGUGACGAGAUGAAGCGACUGCGUCGGUUGCGUGGCAAGGGACCACCGCCCAAGGGACAAGGAAAGCGGGCUUCCAGGUAGCGGCGAUACGCUUGAGGUUAACUUUUGCAUCUCAGAUGCGAAUGCUUUUGUUUGUAACAUCAAUGUCUUGUGCGUAUGGAUGCUCGGUAAAUGUAUGCAAGCUUUGGUUGUCUUAAAUACAAGGAUUUUUUUUUGUCCAAGAAGCGGGAACAUUUGCAUCAGUUGUUUGGUGCCAGCGGGACUUGAUUGGGAUGGGUCGGGAGCGGGACUCGGACUGGCAGCUGGAGUCCAGCGCUAAGCGAGCCGCGGGGUCGAUAUGAGUGCAAUGUUGGAAUUUUAGGGCCUUGGUUGGAAUAGUCGUUUUCGGUCCUGGUCCCGGAGAAUAAAAUCUGCCCGGAGAACCAGUCAGUUUUUAGAGCAACCAACAGGAAAAUCAUAUUUUUGGCCUACUAACCGUGAUAGCUGAUAAAAUGUGUUACUCUCAAUGCUAUUGCUAUAUAUUUUAGGUGUAAUAAUGUCAGUUUUUUCAUCACACAUGCUGGAAAAUUUGGAAGAUAUUAAGUGCCAGAGUACCUAUACAUUUGUAAAGGAGAACACAAUCUUUGGGACCCGACUGGGACCAGCGAAGGGUCUUAUUUCCAACAUUGUAUGAGUGCGUCCUCAAGGACUUCUACCUACCGCUGGGCGACGGACGCAUACUCGUGCUGGAUAAAUGCGUCAAAACAAGGGCAGCGAAGCGAAGUGGCGUUUGAAUAGACGUGGCAGUGAACUCACUCAUGACCGCGUCUCAUUACAGUGUGCGCGCAACAGUAUGCAAUAAAGUCUCAACAACAGAGUCGGGCUGCUCUCUGACUA
This is a long non-coding RNA of Amphibalanus amphitrite, 1615 nucleotides long. RefSeq lists it as uncharacterized. The record is from RefSeq and is a predicted model, not a curated record. The transcript has 2 exons. NCBI's taxonomy places the organism in Eukaryota, Metazoa, Arthropoda, Thecostraca, Balanomorpha, Balanidae.